UUCUUCGGAUUGAUUCUUAACUGACUGAGCGGCGGACGGGUGAGUAACGCGUGGGUGACCUGCCCCAUACCGGGGGAUAACAGCUGGAAACGGCUGCUAAUACCGCAUAAGCGCACAGAGCUGCAUGGCUCGGUGUGAAAAACUCCGGUGGUAUGGGAUGGGCCCGCGUCUGAUUAGGCAGUUGGCGGGGUAACGGCCCACCAAACCGACGAUCAGUAGCCGGCCUGAGAGGGCGACCGGCCACAUUGGGACUGAGACACGGCCCAAACUCCUACGGGAGGCAGCAGUGGGGAAUAUUGCACAAUGGGGGAAACCCUGAUGCAGCGACGCCGCGUGAGCGAAGAAGUAUUUCGGUAUGUAAAGCUCUAUCAGCAGGGAAGAUAAUGACGGUGCCUGACUAAGAAGCCCCGGCUAACUACGUGCCAGCAGCCGCGGUAAUACGUAGGGGGCAAGCGUUAUCCGGAUUUACUGGGUGUAAAGGGAGCGUAGACGGCAAGGCAAGUCUGAUGUGAAAACCCAGGGCUUAACCCUGGGACUGCAUUGGAAACUGUCUGGCUCGAGUGCCGGAGAGGUAAGCGGAAUUCCUAGUGUAGCGGUGAAAUGCGUAGAUAUUAGGAAGAACACCAGUGGC
RNAcentral lists this ribosomal RNA (631 nucleotides) under uncultured Lachnospiraceae bacterium. RNAcentral's name for it is "bacterial SSU rRNA". It matches the Rfam family "Bacterial small subunit ribosomal RNA", at positions 68 to 716 of the family's 1533-position model. Lineage: Bacteria; Bacillati; Bacillota; Clostridia; Lachnospirales; Lachnospiraceae. The record is from RNAcentral.